GAUGAACGCUGGCGGCGGGCUUAACACAUGCAAGUCGAACGGAAACGCCCUGCUAGCGUGCGGUGCCCGAGUGCCGAACGGGUGCGUAACACGUAAGUAUCCUGACCUUGACUUUGGGAUAAGGUCAGGAAACCGGGGCUAAUCCCGGAUCGGAGCUGCUGCUGCAUGGUGGGGGUUGGAACGUUUCGGCGUAUGGGGAUGGACGCGCGGCUUAUCAGCUAGUUGGUUGGGUAGUGGCUUACCAAGGCAUUGACGGGUAGACGGCCUGAGAGGGUGACAGGGCACAUUGGGACUACGAUACGGCCCAGAGUCCUACGGGAGGCAGCGGUGGGGAAUAUUGCACAAUCGGCGGAAGCCUGAUGCAGCAACGCCGCGUGCGGGAUGACGGCCUUCUGGUAUUAAACCGCAUUCGCCUGUAACGAAGCGUGAGUGACGGUAAUGGGUAAAGAAGCACCGGCUAACUACGUG
RNAcentral lists this ribosomal RNA (468 nucleotides) under uncultured bacterium. RNAcentral describes it as "partial 16S ribosomal RNA". It matches the Rfam family "Bacterial small subunit ribosomal RNA", at positions 28 to 507 of the family's 1533-position model. The record is from RNAcentral.